This 312-nucleotide small nuclear RNA is filed under the name Fukomys damarensis (Damara mole-rat). RNAcentral describes it as "7SK RNA". It matches the Rfam family "7SK RNA". From Rfam's summary of the family: 7SK was discovered as an abundant small nuclear RNA in the mid-70s but a possible function has only recently been suggested. Lineage: Eukaryota; Metazoa; Chordata; Mammalia; Rodentia; Bathyergidae. The record is from Rfam by way of RNAcentral.
GGAUGUAAGAGUGAUCUGGCUGUGACAUAUGUCACUCAUGAUCGCUAGGCUUGAUCUGAUUGAUCAGGCUGACCAGGCGGGUAUCCCCUACCUCCUCUGUGCUCCAUGUGUGACCUCUCAAGCUAUGUGCUCUGUCUUGGUUUCUUUCUAGUUGUGGAAACAAAAAUACCUGACAACCCACCAAGGAAAGGAGGAAAGAUUUAUUCAGUUUGUAGAGGUUUCAGUCCAGAGUUGGCUGACUCCAAGGCAGGGAGGCAUGGCAAUUUCAUGUAAGUGGUCACUCAUAAGCACGCAGAGCAUUUGCCCUGCUGU